This 254-nucleotide ribosomal RNA is filed under the name uncultured bacterium. RNAcentral describes it as "partial 16S ribosomal RNA". It matches the Rfam family "Bacterial small subunit ribosomal RNA", at positions 524 to 776 of the family's 1533-position model. The record is from RNAcentral.
UACGUAGGGUGCGAGCGUUGUCCGGAAUUAUUGGGCGUAAAGAGCUCGUAGGCGGUUUGUUGCGUCGGCCGUGAAAACCUGCAGCUUAACUGUGGGCCUGCGGCCGAUACGGGCAGACUUGAGUUCGGUAGGGGAGACUGGAAUUCCUGGUGUAGCGGUGAAAUGCGCAGAUAUCUGGAGGAACACCGGUGGCGAAGGCGGCAUCCUGGACCAACACUGACGCGGAGUGAGCGAAAGCCAGGGGAGCAAACGGG